RNAcentral lists this ribosomal RNA (454 nucleotides) under uncultured bacterium. RNAcentral's name for it is "bacterial SSU rRNA". It matches the Rfam family "Bacterial small subunit ribosomal RNA", at positions 340 to 786 of the family's 1533-position model. The record is from RNAcentral.
UACGGAAGGCAGCAGUGGGGAAUAUUGCACAAUGGGCGCAAGCCUGAUGCAGCCAUGCCGCGUGUAUGAAGAAGGCCUUCGGGUUGUAAAGUACUUUCAGUCGUGAGGAAGGUGUUAAGGUUAAUAACCUUAGCAAUUGACGUUAGCGACAGAAGAAGCACCGGCUAACUCCGUGCCAGCAGCCGCGGUAAUACGGAGGGUGCGAGCGUUAAUCGGAAUUACUGGGCGUAAAGGGCACGCAAGCGGUUAUUAAGUUGGAUGUGAAAUCCCCGGGCUUAACCUGGGAAUGGCAUUCAAGACUGGUUAGCUAGAGUCUUGUAGAGGGGGUAGAAUUCCAUGUGUAGCGGUGAAAUGCGUAGAGAUGUGGAGGAAUACCGGUGGCGAAGGCGGCCCCUGGACAAAGGACUGACGCUCAUGUGCGAAAGCGUGGGGAGCGAAACAGGGAUUAGAUACC